Molecule: ribosomal RNA, 253 nt
Filed under: uncultured bacterium
Lineage: Bacteria
Description: partial 16S ribosomal RNA
Rfam family: Bacterial small subunit ribosomal RNA
Source: RNAcentral
UACGGAGGGUGCAAGCGUUGCUCGGAAUUAUUGGGCGUAAAGGGUAGGUAGGUGGUCUCAUUUGUCUGGGGUGAAAUCCUUGAGCUUAACUCAAGAAGUGCCCCAGAAACGGUGAGACUAGAGUCCUGGAGAGGGUCGUGGAAUUCCCGGUGUAGCGGUGAAAUGCGUAGAGACUGGGAAGAACACCAGUGGCGAAGGCGGCUACCUGGACAGGUACUGACGCUGAAGCGCGAAAGCUAGGGGAGCAAACAGG